GGAAUAUUGGACAAUGGGCGAAAGCCUGAUCCAGCAAUGCCGCGUGUGUGAAGAAGGCCUUCGGGUUGUAAAGCACUUUCAGUUGGGAAGAAAAGCUUGGUGCUAAUACCACCGAGUCUUGACGUUACCGACAGAAGAAGCAACGGCUAACUCUGUGCCAGCAGCCGCGGUAAUACAGAGGGUGCGAGCGUUAAUCGGAAUUACUGGGCGUAAAGGGCGCGUAGGCGGUUUGGUCAGUCGGAUGUGAAAGCCCCGGGCUCAACCUGGGAAUGUCAUUCGAUACUGCCUGACUUGAGUAUGGUAGAGGGAAGCGGAAUUCCGGGUGUAGCGGUGAAAUGCGUAGAGAUCCGGAGGAACACCAGUGGCGAAGGCGGCUUCCUGGACCAAUACUGACGCUGAGGCGCGAAAGCGUGGGGAGCAAAC
RNAcentral lists this ribosomal RNA (423 nucleotides) under uncultured bacterium. Its description in RNAcentral is "bacterial SSU rRNA". It matches the Rfam family "Bacterial small subunit ribosomal RNA", at positions 358 to 773 of the family's 1533-position model. The record is from RNAcentral.